Molecule: non-coding RNA, 874 nt
Filed under: Pan troglodytes (chimpanzee)
Lineage: Eukaryota; Metazoa; Chordata; Mammalia; Primates; Hominidae
Source: RNAcentral
UGCGAGCAAAGUUCCUAUGGCAUCCACUUACCAGGGCAGGAAACCCUACUUCCACCAGACAUUUAUUUGUUUAUUCACUCAGGCAGGUGGUAUGUUGGAAGAAGAGUGGACUUUGGAAUCAGAAAACCUGGAAUCCCAACUUCACCACUAACCGAGAGACCUUGAGCUGGUUCCUAAACCACGGGGAACUUCAGUUCCACUACAUGAGUUAUUGCAAAGGUUGAAUCAGAGUUGUGACACUGGCCAGCACACGUGUGAAACCAGGGGCAUCCCCUAUUGAUAAGGAGCCCAGCCCAAGAGCUUCAAGGGAAAUUGACCCUAGCCCCAGCUCCACUGAUGGGCUUCAUGAUUCAGAGAGGAAUCUCACUCCCUUGGUCAAAGUGAAUGGCUCAUAAAUCUGGGCCUAAGUCAAUCCGUGCAAGACAUUCCCCUGGCCAUAGGGAUUGGUUAAAAAAUGGACAUGUAACCCAGUUUGGGCUAAAUGAGAUGUGAACAGGAAAGUUAUUUGAUAGCUUCUGAGGAAGGUAGCUUCUCUUCUUUCUAGAGAGCCACUGGAAAGGUAGGCUUUUCUCCUCUAUGUGUUGUGGAGAGAAAAAAAAGUGAAACUGUGUUCCUCUCAGCCCACACAGAAGGCUCACACUUGGUGAAGGGAAGGGUGGUGAAGAUUACAGAGAAUAGCCCUGAUGGAACCACACCUGAUUUCUACCUGACCUCUUAAUUUUUUCAUUUGUACAAGUCAGUAAAUGCCUUUUAAUUUUUAAACAGAUAAUUACAGCAACUUAUAGAAGUACCUAAGGUAUUAAGUUACCAUCAUGAAUACAAAGAUAAGCAAGACAAACUUCAAGGGGCUCACCACCUAAUAAAUAUUAUACUU